UAGGGAAUCUUCCGCAAUGGGCGAAAGCUUGACGGAGCAACGCCGCGCGAGUGAUGAAGGUCUUCGGAUCGUAAAACUCUGUUAUUAGGGAAGAACAAAUGUGUAAGUAACUAUGCACGUCUUGACGGUACCUAAUCAGAAAGCCACGGCUAACUACGUGCCAGCAGCCGCGGUAAUACGUAGGUGGCAAGCGUUAUCCGGAAUUAUUGGGCGUAAAGCGCGCGUAGGCGGUUUUUUAAGUCUGAUGUGAAAGCCCACGGCUCAACCGUGGAGGGUCAUUGGAAACUGGAAAACUUGAGUGCAGAAGAGGAAAGUGGAAUUCCAUGUGUAGCGGUGAAAUGCGCAGAGAUAUGGAGGAACACCAGUGGCGGAGGCGACUUUCUGGUCUGUAACUGACGCUGAUGUGCGAAAGCGUGGGGAUCAAACAGG
This 429-nucleotide ribosomal RNA is filed under the name Bacteroidota bacterium. RNAcentral describes it as "Bacteroidetes bacterium partial 16S ribosomal RNA". It matches the Rfam family "Bacterial small subunit ribosomal RNA", at positions 355 to 776 of the family's 1533-position model. Lineage: Bacteria; Pseudomonadati; Bacteroidota. The record is from RNAcentral.